UGUGUAACUGUGUGUGUGUGUGUGUGUGUGUGUGUGUGACUGUAUGAAAAAGAGAUGUGUUAAUGCAUAUGGAUAGAGAUGUGUAUGUAUUUGUCUGUAGGAACAAGAGAAGAGAAUAAAUGUGAAUGUGUCAGAGCAUAUGGAUACCGAUUUGUUUGAGCGACUGAUUAAAUCUGCGUACAUUUGCCUGUAGCAUUUAUUUGCAGGUAUAUGAUACAGCCUAUGUAGGUGUGUUUGUCUAUGUAUGAGUGUGUGUGUGUAUGUGUGUGUGUGUGUGUGUGUGUGUGUGUGUGUGUGUGUGUGUGUGUGUGUGUAUGUGUAUGUGUGUGUGAUAGAGAGAGAGAUUGAGAGAGAGGGGGGAUAGAAGGGAGGGAGAGUGAGAGUGUGCGACCAUGUCUAUUUGAGUGAGAGUGAGAGUGUGUGAGCGUGUCUAUUUGAGUGAGAGUGUGUGAGCAUGUCUAUUUGAGUUUGAGUAAGAGUAAGAGUGUGUGAGCGUGUCUAUUUGAGUGAGAGUAAGAGUGUGUGACCAUGUCUAUUUGAGUUAGAGUGAGAGUAAGAGUGUGUGACCAUGUGAGUAAGAGUGAGAGUGUGUGAGCGUGUCUAUUUGAGUGAGAGUGAGAGUGUGUGACCAUGUCUAUUUGAGUGAGAGUAAGAGUGAGAGUGUGUGAGCGUGUCUAUUUGAAUGAGAGUGAGAGUGUGUGACCGUGUCUAUUUGAGUGAGAGUAAGAGUGUGUGACCAUGUCUAUUUGAGUGACAGUGAGAGUGUGUGAGCGUGUCUAUUUGAGUGAGAGUUAGAGUGAGAGUGUGUGAGCGUGUCUAUUUGAGUGAGAGUGAGAGUGUGUGACCGUGUCUAUUUGAGUGAGAGUGAGAGUGUGUGAGCGUGUCUAUUUGAGUGAGAGUAAGAGUGUGUGAGCGUGUCUAUUUGAGUGAGAGUGAGAGUGUGUGACCAUGUCUAUUUAAAUGAGAGUAAGAGUGUGUGAGCGUGUCUAUUUGAGCGUAUUUGAAGUAAAAGCACUAACACAGGGGUUACCUGAGGGUUAGGGAAUUAGUGUCAGUCACAGGCACAGUUUAGGAUUUAGUUUCCUGUUUGUCACUUCUGCCAGACUGCAGCUUUCAAAAGCAAACAAAACAGCCUGAUCACUGUCCAGAGAGGAGU
Long non-coding RNA from Clupea harengus (Atlantic herring), 1156 nucleotides. Lineage: Eukaryota; Metazoa; Chordata; Actinopteri; Clupeiformes; Clupeidae. The record is from Ensembl.